AACCAUCACGGAAAACAUGUAACUGAAAAGGAUUUCAUGGGAAAGUGGACUUUGUUAUAUUUUGGCUUUACUCACUGCCCGAAUAUCUGUCCAGAGGAACUACAGAAGUUAGCAGCUGCUGUUGAUAAAAUAAGUCUGGAGUGUGGUUGAUCUGUUGAGAUUCAAUGGGAUAGCGAUGCAAAUGACAUUGGAAGUGUUUGUUGUUCUUGGCAAAAUGAUUUAACCAAUGGUUGUUAAGAAAGCACAUUGCAGUUUUUCAAUCUUCAAGUUUUGUUCUUGUGAUAAUGUACUAAUGGUAAUCAUAUCCAUGUCUCUUUUGGUUCCUUGCAGAGGAGAAAGCUGGAAUUGAAACUGUUCCGGUUUUUAUCUCUAUUGAUCCUGAGAGGGAUAUUGUUGAACAAGUCGGUGAAUAUGUCAAAGAAUUUCAUCCGAAGUUAAUUGGAUUAACUGGUAGCCCCGAUGAGGUCAAGAAUGUUGCUCGUGCAUAUCGCGUUUAUU
Long non-coding RNA from Glycine soja, 498 nucleotides. RefSeq lists it as uncharacterized. The record is from RefSeq and is a predicted model, not a curated record. The transcript is spliced from 3 exons. NCBI's taxonomy places the organism in Eukaryota, Viridiplantae, Streptophyta, Magnoliopsida, Fabales, Fabaceae.